UUAAAUGAAGCCAAAAUAGAGGCAUUUUAAUGUUAAUAAAAUAAUUGAAAUUUAAUUCCAUUUAAA
RNAcentral lists this transfer RNA (66 nucleotides) under Kikihia horologium. RNAcentral's name for it is "tRNA-Asn". Lineage: Eukaryota; Metazoa; Arthropoda; Insecta; Hemiptera; Cicadidae. The record is from RNAcentral.